This is a non-coding RNA of Campylobacter mucosalis, 119 nucleotides long. The record is from Rfam. Lineage: Bacteria; Pseudomonadati; Campylobacterota; Epsilonproteobacteria; Campylobacterales; Campylobacteraceae.
CUUAUUUUAUGUUUUCUUUGCUAUAAUCGCCCUUUUUAAUCUUACCAAUCAGGAGGUCUAAAAUGGCUUUGGAUUCGGCUAAAAAAGCAGAAAUAGUUGCGAAAUUCGCUAGAAAAGAC